This 55-nucleotide transfer RNA is filed under the name Echinostoma caproni. Its description in RNAcentral is "tRNA-Glu". Lineage: Eukaryota; Metazoa; Platyhelminthes; Trematoda; Plagiorchiida; Echinostomatidae. The record is from RNAcentral.
AUCGUCUUGGUGUUUUUGUACAUGCUAGUUUUUCGUACUUGAUAAUACUAUCAUA